GAUCAUUUAAUUUCCAUCAGCAGACCUAGAGGUGCCGUGGCGAAUGGGGCAAUUGAAUAGGUUGCUGAAUUCUCUCAUUUGUAUAGUCUUUUUUUUUUCAGAAUUGCUCUGUUAUAUGGAGAAGCCUGUUUUCGAAGUUUUUCUAAAAGAAAGCUCAAAAAAAUGAAAUUCUUUCCAAAUUUUGCUUGCCUGUGUACACAGUGGACUCUGUACGGUUGGACUGUAUUUAGGCAUACUACACAUUCUCAAGGUUGGGUUUGGAUUCGAGUACAUGACAUUGUGAAAGUGGAAAGCAU
Molecule: long non-coding RNA, 296 nt
Filed under: Setaria italica (foxtail millet)
Lineage: Eukaryota; Viridiplantae; Streptophyta; Magnoliopsida; Poales; Poaceae
Description: long non-coding RNA (SITA_LNC007034)
Source: RNAcentral